UACGUAGGUGGCAAGCGUUGUCCGGAAUUACUGGGUGUAAAGGGAGGGCAGGCGGGAAGCCAAGUCAGCUGUGAAAACUACGGGCUUAACUUGUAGACUGCAGUUGAAACUGGUUUUCUUGAGUGAAGUAGAGGUUGGCGGAAUUCCGAGUGUAGCGGUGAAAUGCGUAGAUAUUCGGAGGAACACCGGUGGCGAAGGCGGCCAACUGGGCUUUAACUGACGCUGAGGCUCGAAAGUGUGGGGAGCAAACAGG
Molecule: ribosomal RNA, 253 nt
Filed under: uncultured bacterium
Lineage: Bacteria
Description: partial 16S ribosomal RNA
Rfam family: Bacterial small subunit ribosomal RNA
Source: RNAcentral